RNAcentral lists this ribosomal RNA (170 nucleotides) under uncultured rumen bacterium. RNAcentral describes it as "partial 16S ribosomal RNA". It matches the Rfam family "Bacterial small subunit ribosomal RNA", at positions 340 to 524 of the family's 1533-position model. The record is from RNAcentral.
UACGGGAGGCAGCAGUGAGGAAUAUUGGGCAAUGGGCAUAAGCCUGACCCAGCGACGCCGCGUGAGGGAAGAAGGUCUUCGGAUUGUAAACCUUAGUUAGCAGGGAAGAAGAAGUGACGGUACCUGCAGAGAAAGCCACGGCUAACUUACGUGCCAGCAGCCGCGGUAAU